UACGUAGGGACCGAGCGUUGUCCGGAAUCAUUGGGCGUAAAGAGCGUGUAGGCGGCCACUUAAGUCCUGCGUGAAAUCUUGCGGCUCAACCGCAAGCGGUCGUGGGAAACUGGUGGCUAGAGUGCGGGAGAGGAGAGUGGAAUUCCUGGUGUAGCGGUGGAAUGCGCAGAUAUCAGGAAGAACACCCGUGGCGAAGGCGGCUCUCUGGAACGCAACUGACGCUGAGACGCGAAAGCGUGGGGAGCAAACAGG
This 252-nucleotide ribosomal RNA is filed under the name uncultured bacterium. Its description in RNAcentral is "partial 16S ribosomal RNA". It matches the Rfam family "Bacterial small subunit ribosomal RNA", at positions 524 to 776 of the family's 1533-position model. The record is from RNAcentral.